GAUGAACGCUGGCGGCGUGCCUAAUACAUGCAAGUCGAGCGAACGGACGAGAAGCUUGCUUCUCUGAUGUUAGCGGCGGACGGGUGAGUAACACGUGGAUAACCUACCUAUAAGACUGGGAUAACUUCGGGAAACCGGAGCUAAUACCGGAUAAUAUUUUGAACCGCAUGGUUCAAAAGUGAAAGACGGUCUUGCUGUCACUUAUAGCUGGAUCCGCGCUGCAUUAGCUAGUUGGUAAGGUAACGGCUUACCAAGGCAACGAUGCAUAGCCGACCUGAGAGGGUGAUCGGCCACACUGGAACUGAGACACGGUCCAGACUCCUGCGGGAGGCAGCAGUAGGGAAUCUUCCGCAAUGGGCGAAAGCCUGACGGAGCAACGCCGCGUGAGUGAUGAAGAUCUUCGGAUCGUAAAACUCUGUUAUUAGGGAAGAACAUAUGUGUAAGUAACUGUGCACAUCUUGACGGUACCUAGUCAGAAAGCCACGGCUAACUACGUG
Molecule: ribosomal RNA, 497 nt
Filed under: uncultured bacterium
Lineage: Bacteria
Description: partial 16S ribosomal RNA
Rfam family: Bacterial small subunit ribosomal RNA
Source: RNAcentral